GACGAACGCUGGCGGCGCGCCUAACACAUGCAAGUCGAACGAGCGAGAGAGAGCUUGCUUUCUCGAGCGAGUGGCGAACGGGUGAGUAACGCGUGAGGAACCUGCCUCAAAGAGGGGGACAACAGUUUGAAACGACUGCUAAUACCGCAUAAGCCCACGGCUCGGCAUCGAGCAGGGGGAAAAGGAGCAAUCCGCUUUGAGAUGGCCUCGCGUCCGAUUAGCUAGUUGGUGGGGUAACGGCCCACCAAGGCGACGAUCGGUAGCCGGACUGAGAGGUUGAACGGCCACAUUGGGACUGAGACACGGCCCAGACUCCUACGGGAGGCAGCAGUGGGGAAUAUUGCACAAUGGGGGAAACCCUGAUGCAGCGACGCCGCGUGGAGGAAGAAGGUCUUCGGAUUGUAAACUCCUGUUGUUGGGGAAGAUAAUGACGGUACCCAACAAGGAAGUGACGGCUAACUACGUG
RNAcentral lists this ribosomal RNA (466 nucleotides) under uncultured bacterium. Its description in RNAcentral is "partial 16S ribosomal RNA". It matches the Rfam family "Bacterial small subunit ribosomal RNA", at positions 28 to 507 of the family's 1533-position model. The record is from RNAcentral.